AUCACCCACGCUUGCAGUUCAGAGUCGCUGAGACAACAGGAACAGCAGAUGCUGGGGCAUCUGAGAUGACACGGUGUGUAGCUGGAUGAACACAGCAGGUCAAGCAGCAUCAGCCGAGCAGGAAAGCUGACGUUUCGGGCCUAGAUCCUUCGCUGAGACCAAGAUUUGUGCAAUUGAGAUACCAGCGAUCAUUGCCAAAACCCUGUUGCCUGUGGAGAAGGUGAUAUUUAACUUCCGUGUGCUGCUGCAGUUCGUAUGAUAAAGGUGCUCCCACAAUGCUCCAUUUGAGAAGUUACAGAUCGUUCAUCUAGCGAUACUGAAGAGCUGAUGGUGACUGUGCGGUGGUCGCUGUUAUCAAUCCUGACAGGGACAGAUGCAUCUGCAGCUGGGAAAUUUGUGACAAUGAGAUCAGCUAUGUUUUUCCCUUUUGUUGGUUGUGUCAGCACCUGCUGCAGUCCCAGCCAGGCAGCUUUGACCAGCUUGAUUGGUAAUCCUGAUGCUGAACUACUCCUGAUGGUCGACAUUGAGUACAUUUAGUGCCAUUCACACUCACACUGUUUCUCCAAGUGCUAUUCGACAUGUAGUUUUUUUUUUAAAUUAAAAUUCACACUUCAGAUGUGGAAAUCACUGGCUGGACCAGCAUUUAUUGCCCAUCCCUAAUUGCCCCAAAGGCAGUUAAGAGUCAACCACAUUGCUGUGGGUUUGGAGUUGCAUGUCAUGCAGACCAGGAUAAUAGAAGUGGACUUUCAGGUGGGGAACUCAAUAAUUGUAACAACAAACUCUGACAGAAUUACUCAAUUCAUCAGCACCUGGAUAUUCGCAUUGUGUGAGAGUGUUGUGUUCCUGCUCAUUUCCCAUUUACCGUGUAAAAUUUCUCUCUUAAAUCACCCCAUUCUCUCAAUAGAUCGUCCCUGAAAUUUUCAGUGUGUCCUGUAAUCUUUUUUAUGAUCAGUCAUGUGUACAUUUUAUCAUCCUAAAGUGUUUCUUUUGCCAACACCUCUAUCAAAGGUCGCCACAAAACCCUUUGUUACAAGGAGAACAAUCUCCGUUUCCCCAUCACCUGAUUCCUCAAUGACUGUUUGCUGUCUAUAAGGCACUCGUCUGGAUUGUGUUGGAACAUUUUCCGCUUCCUUGCAUGAGUACAGCCCCAACACUAUUAGAAAAAGUGAACAUCCUCCAGGUGAAGCGGUGUGACAGAGUCGUGUCCCAUCCACCACAUGCAACAUUCCCCUCUACACCACCGAGGCACAGUGGCAUCACUGUGCCAAAGGUAAAGUCACCAUUGUCCUACCUGACCAUAGGGCUGGUUUAACCCGAAGAUUACCACACCGUGGGUGAAGGGAGAGGUUGAGAAGGAGAGUCCGUCUAUUUUAGAUGGAUAUUCUCAAUAUGUACGAACAAUGCCCAGGUCACAUGAAAGAAUAAUGUUAAAAAACAAGCACUAACCAUGCAACUAAAAACCCUCUUCCUACAAACCAUUCUGUUAAAUCUCUUCUUCCCCCUAUCAGGGACCAUCCCGUCCUUCACAGUGUGUGGGGGAUCUUUGGUUUGCACAGACUCAGCUCGUCUUUCCUGUCUGUGAUGUCAUCAUGCUGUGACAAUGGCACUGAACAUCACUGUCUGUGAGGGUGGUGGGCACAGAGAUCCUCAUAGCGUUUAAGACAUAUUCAGAUGCCCACUUGUGAUGCCAACGCAGACAGGUCUAUGGGCCAAGUGCUGGAAAAUUAGCUUAGAAUAGUUAGGUGAUGGUUUUUAACUGGCACAGGCUGGAUGGGCCCCAAAGCCUUUUUCUGGACUGUAGACCUCCGAGACGCUUCACAUAGGAAGAUGCCAAACAAUAUUUCAAGCCAUUUCAGAAAAUGAGAUAUUAAAAUAUAUGACUCAUGAUUACCUCACUUUUCUACAAAAAACAUUGAGCAUAGAGAUGAAGUGGUUUACCAAGAAAUUCUGGAGCUUGAAUCCCAGGAAAUUGCAAGUGCCACCAUCAAGUGGAAGAAUAAAAAUGGGAUCUGAUGAAGGGUCUAGGCCCGAAACGUCAGCUUUUGAGCUCUUGAGAUGCUGCUUGGCCUGCUGUGUUCAUCCAGCUCCACACUUUGUUAUCAAAAGGACUGUAUUAGAGGAAAGCACAAUUUUGCUUCCAAUUAGCAAGCUCUUCCUGAAUCGCAUGUGAUCUAACUUUACUCAUCAGUCUACCAUGUGGAACUCUGUCAAAAGCUUCACUCUCAUUCCAGAGGUGCUGCAAAUCUGAUCCAAUCCCCCUGCCAUUUGUCCACCGCCCUCUUGAUCAUGCCUUGAAAAGUUAAUAAAUGUGAGAUACUGUGUUUUGGUAAAGUGUAGGACUUAAACAAUUGAUGUUUGCACCCAGGGUAGAGUUGUGGAGCAGAGAAAUGCGGAGAUUCAGGUAGAUACUACUUUGAAGUUUAUGGAGAUAGGUAGACAGGGUGGUUACCAAGUUGUUUCGCUCACUUGCCUUCAUUACUCAACCUUUGGAGUCUCGGAGUUGGGAUGUUAUGUUGAGAUUGUACAGUACAUGGUGAAGCUUCAUUUGAGGUAUUGUGUGCAGUUCUGGUCGCCCUGUUACAUGAAGGAUGUUAUUAUUAAACUGGAGACAGUUCAGAAAAGAUUUGCUGGGAUGUUACCAGGAAUGGAGGGCUCGAUUAUUAAAAUAGACUGCCAAAUCUAGGACUUUUCUCACUGGAGCAUAGGAUGUUAAGGGUUGACCUUACAGAGGCUUAUAAAAUCAUGAGGGCACAGAUUAUGUGAAUAUUAAGGGCUUUUUUCCCUAGGUUGGGGGAUUUCAAGACAAGGGGACAUAUGUGUAAGAUGAGAGGAGAAAGACACAUUUAAAAAAAGGCAUGAGG
Stegostoma tigrinum is the source of this 2861-nucleotide long non-coding RNA. RefSeq lists it as uncharacterized. The transcript has 4 exons. Lineage: Eukaryota; Metazoa; Chordata; Chondrichthyes; Orectolobiformes; Stegostomatidae. The record is from RefSeq and is a predicted model, not a curated record.